RNAcentral lists this ribosomal RNA (251 nucleotides) under uncultured bacterium. Its description in RNAcentral is "partial 16S ribosomal RNA". It matches the Rfam family "Bacterial small subunit ribosomal RNA", at positions 524 to 776 of the family's 1533-position model. The record is from RNAcentral.
UACAGAGGUCCCAAGCGUUGUUCGGAUUCAUUGGGCGUAAGGGUGCGUAGGCGGUGGGGUAAGUUGGAUGUGAAAUCUUGGGGCUUAACCUCAAAUUGCAUUCAAUACUGCUCCGCUCGAGUUCUGUAGAGGAGAUUGGAAUUUACGGUGUAGCAGUGAAAUGCGUAGAGAUCGUAAGGAAGACCAGUGGCGAAGGCGAGUUUCUGGACAGUUACUGACGCUGAGGCACGAAGGCCAGGGGAGCAAACGGG